Molecule: ribosomal RNA, 304 nt
Filed under: uncultured bacterium
Lineage: Bacteria
Description: partial 16S ribosomal RNA
Rfam family: Bacterial small subunit ribosomal RNA
Source: RNAcentral
CAGCAGCAGCCACGGUAAAACGUAGGGUGCAAGCGUUAAUCGGAAUUACUGGGCGUAAAGCGUGCGCAGGCGGUUAUAUAAGACAGAUGUGAAAUCCCCGGGCUCAACCUGGGAACUGCAUUUGUGACUGUAUAGCUAGAGUACGGCAGAGGGGGAUGGAAUUCCGCGUGUAGCAGUGAAAUGCGUAGAUAUGCGGAGGAACACCGAUGGCGAAGGCAAUCCCCUGGGCCUGUACUGACGCUCAUGCACGAAAGCGUGGGGAGCAAACAGGAUUAGAUACCCGCGUAGUCCCUGUCUCUUAUAC